RNAcentral lists this ribosomal RNA (253 nucleotides) under uncultured bacterium. Its description in RNAcentral is "partial 16S ribosomal RNA". It matches the Rfam family "Bacterial small subunit ribosomal RNA", at positions 524 to 776 of the family's 1533-position model. The record is from RNAcentral.
UACGGAGGGUGCGAGCGUUGCUCGGAAUGAUUGGGCGUAAAGCGCGUGUAGGCGGCCGAUUAUGCCGGUUGUGAAAGCCCGUGGCUCAACUACGGAAGUGCAGUCGGAACUGAUCGGCUAGAGUGCCGAAGAGGGUGGCGGAAUGCCCAGUGUAGAGGUGAAAUUCGUAGAUAUUGGGUAGAACACCGGUGGCGAAGGCGGCCACCUGGGAGGUUACUGACGCUGAGGAGCGAAAGCGUGGGGAGCGAACAGG